UGGGGAAUUCUGGACAAUGGGCGCAAGCCUGAUCCAGCAAUGCCGCGUGCAGGAUGAAGGCCUUCGGGUUGUAAACUGCUUUUGUACGGAGCGAAAAGGUCUGCCCUAAUACGGUGGGCUCAUGACGGUACCGUAAGAAUAAGCACCGGCUAACUACGUGCCAGCAGCCGCGGUAAUACGUAGGGUGCGAGCGUUAAUCGGAAUUACUGGGCGUAAAGCGUGCGCAGGCGGUUAUAUAAGACAGAUGUGAAAUCCCCGGGCUCAACCUGGGACCUGCAUUUGUGACUGUAUAGCUAGAGUACGGUAGAGGGGGAUGGAAUUCCGCGUGUAGCAGUGAAAUGCGUAGAUAUGCGGAGGAACACCGGUGGCGAAGGCAAUCCCCUGGACCUGUACUGACGCUCAUGCACGAAAGCGUGGGGAGCAAACA
RNAcentral lists this ribosomal RNA (427 nucleotides) under uncultured bacterium. RNAcentral describes it as "bacterial SSU rRNA". It matches the Rfam family "Bacterial small subunit ribosomal RNA", at positions 355 to 774 of the family's 1533-position model. The record is from RNAcentral.